This 119-nucleotide ribosomal RNA is filed under the name Schistocephalus solidus. Lineage: Eukaryota; Metazoa; Platyhelminthes; Cestoda; Diphyllobothriidea; Diphyllobothriidae. The record is from RNAcentral.
GUCAGCGACCAUACACCGUAGAAAGCACCGGUUCUCAUCCGAUCACCGAAGUUAAGCUACGUUGGGCCCGGUUAGUACUUGCAUGGGUGACCGGCUGGGAAUACCGGGUGUUGCUAACA